This is a non-coding RNA of Maylandia zebra (zebra mbuna), 1991 nucleotides long. NCBI's taxonomy places the organism in Eukaryota, Metazoa, Chordata, Actinopteri, Cichliformes, Cichlidae. The record is from RefSeq and is a predicted model, not a curated record.
CUUCCAGUGUUUAUGCUGGAUUAAAUCAUAUUAAAUGUCCCAAAAUAGUUCAAAAUGCAUGUCACGGUAUAACAGAGUCCAUGUCUUUAAGUGACUUGUUUUGGUCAAAACUAAUAAAGAACCCAAAGGUAUUAAAAUUUACAAUAAGACAGCAAAAUAUGGACUUAAAAUGGACUCACAUAAUCAACAGAUGAUUUGAACAGUGGCUUCUUUUCUCCCAGUAAAUCAGUUCAUUUUUUAAGUGAUGAAGGGUACAAAACUGUUGGAUUUCCACAAUCAAAUGAUGAAUCGUGCUUGCAAUGACAUGUGCAUAGUAGAGGCAGAGAUUUGAAUGGUCUGAGGUGUGUGUGUAGAUGAAUUAUUGAUUUAAAUGAUAAUGCUCCCAGUGUUGCAAUUGAACACCUGAAUUUAUUUAGAGCCGCUUUUGUUUGUGUAAAUAAGGUCCAGAUUAGAAGUCUGGGACCGUAACUGAGAACAGUUUUCAUUUGACUCCUGCACUAAAAAUGAACAGGGACUCCUGGCUCUGUCAGAAUGAAUAAGAGCAGGGGCACAAUAGUGCCAUGCUUUGCCACAAAAAGGAAACUCUUCCUCAUAAAGAUUUUCUUUUCUUUUUUCUUUUUUUCUUUUUUUGGACCAACUUGGAUUUUAAUAGCCAUUAAAAUUAGGCAGAUUUGUCUCUUAGCUCCAAAUUUGUCCGUUUCAUUUUUGUGUUAUGACCCCAAGUCUGUGUAGGACAAAGCACUGACCAGUGAUGGCAUGCUUCCUUCCUAGGCCUUGUCCCCUGGCAACAAAAACCAUGCAUGGUUCUGAAAAGAGGACAUGAGCCUGGGAAACCCUUUUAGGAAAACAGACGGGAGCUCAAAGCGCAGCGGGAACGGAAUGUCCAAAAAGGAAGAAUGAUACCCCGGCCAUAACCGGAUGCAACGUGCUGCUCCUGCAUUGUUGCAAAGGAGCUUCCAGUCUAGUUCCGAACCGUGCCUUCCAGUAUUUAGCCAGUGAUGCCCUGCAUGUUGAGCACACAGCAAGCAGGUGAGAACAUUGUUCAUCAUCCAAAUCUGAAUCAGGUGUUCACAGUCGACCCUGCUGCGCCUCCCGUCGAAGAAACCACAAGCCAAGAAACCUACGGAACACAAGGAAUCGAUACAAAGUUUUUCAAGGACGUACAAUGGCAGAAGUCAAAUCUACAAAUGGAUUCUGUAUUUCUAGUUCUGUUGGCUAUGACAAUGCACUUUUUUUACAGUUGACCUUAAAUGUUACAUUACACAGUGUCCCUGGUUUGUACCUUUCCUCUGUGUCCAAGAACUGACAGUUCUCGAACACUCCUGUUCUUUUGUUUGGUUAAUAAUGCACCGUUACAACUCUAACCACCAGGGUUAGAGCUGCCAUGCCAGAGCCCACAAAUGAAUCACAGAAAAGCACUAAAUCAAAGAUUGCAACACAGAAAGAGACACAAAAUACUGAAGACAUGCCGAAGACUGGGAGUCUAUAGUGCAUGUAUGUAGCUAGGUAAAUGAAAGCAUGACAUGAACUUUGAAUGGUAAAAACCAAAUAUCCAGUUGGCACCAGCAACACAGACUAUCAAAGGCAUGAUAGAGGCAUGAUCGAGGAAAUGCAGGCGUGUAUGUCUGUCUGUGUGUGUGUGUGUGUGUGUGUGUGUGUGUGUGUGUGUGUGUGUGUGUAACCUUGAUUUGCUUUCCCUCUUGCUCAAUUAUUUGUUUAGUGAUCAUGCUUCAAGGUUUGAAUUGGUUUAACACCCACUAGCUUGUUUCGUCAAUGUUUUGCAUUUCUCUUGAUGGCAGUGGCUAAUAUUAAACCUUGAAAAAGACACGGUAACCUGCAAAGUCAGCGCUUUAUUCAUGUAACAAGUUCUUCCAAAAGUAUGAAUAUCCUGUAUAAAGACUGCUAUUAAUGACUAACUGAUGAAAAGUAUGUGAUUAUUAGCAUAUGAUUAGAAUAUCAUAAAAAAGUGAUCUUUUUUUUUGGGGGGGGGG